RNAcentral lists this unclassified non-coding RNA (563 nucleotides) under Hevea brasiliensis (rubber tree). Lineage: Eukaryota; Viridiplantae; Streptophyta; Magnoliopsida; Malpighiales; Euphorbiaceae. The record is from RNAcentral.
UUUAUUCUCUUCAUGGUUUUCUAUACAUUUUAAGACCUUUAUAUCACAUACAAAAGAAAAUGGAUAGAUAUUUUUGGAUAAGAUAAUUGGAUAAGUUAGUGAUUGUGAAGUAAUCCUUUUUCCAUGUAAGCAUUAGCAUUUAAAUAAAGGCAUGAGCAGCAGACCUUGACACCUUUGUAGACGUGAAUGUCUAGAGGAAUACAAACUAGCCUCUUAGUUUGGAGAAACAGUAGGAGUAGACACUUGAUUUCUAGCUAAGAAACAUCAAAGUAGCAGUUUAGAUCUCUUUAAGCAGAAAACCUAACCACCAAAACCAAUCAGAGAUGGUCAAAAGUUGUGUAAGAACUAGGGAAGGUGUUAAGCACCCUAAUUCCCCUUGCCAUCAUGCAUAGUCAACUUUCACUUUGUUAAUUUAUUUUGUUUGAACUUAUUUAAAUUGGUCCUUUUAAUCUUGCCAACAAUACACAUAGUAGCACAACACCAUAUUAAACACAUUCAAAUCACAUAUUUUAUCAAUCACAAUUUAAGAUGAUUAAGUAGAAAUUGGCAAUACUUGAUCAAAA